GAUGAACGCUGGCGGCGUGCCUAAUACAUGCAAGUCGAGCGAAAGGACGAGACGUUUGCUUCUCUGAUGUUAGGGGCGGAAGGGUGAGUAACACGUGGAUAACCUACCUAUAAGACUGGGAUAUCUUCGGGACACGGGCGCUAAUACCGGAUAAUAUUUUGAACCGCAUGGUUCACAAGUGAAAGUCGGUCUUGCUGUCACUUAUAGACGGAUCCGUGCUGCAUUAUCUAGUUGGUAAGGUACCGGCUUACCAAGGCAACGAGGCAUAGACGACCUGAGAGCGGGGACGGCCCCGCUAGAACUGGGCCACCGUCGAUGCUCCUACGGGAGGCAGCAGUAGGUUAUCUUCCGCAAUGGGGGAGAGCAUGCCGGAGCGACGUGGCGUGAGUUAUGAUGGUCUUCGGAUCGUAAUACCCUGUGAUUGGGUAGGAACAUAUGUGUAAGGAGAUGGGCACAUCUUGACGGUACCUAAGCAGAAAGCCACGGCUAACUACGUG
This 497-nucleotide ribosomal RNA is filed under the name uncultured bacterium. RNAcentral's name for it is "partial 16S ribosomal RNA". It matches the Rfam family "Bacterial small subunit ribosomal RNA", at positions 28 to 507 of the family's 1533-position model. The record is from RNAcentral.